This 403-nucleotide ribosomal RNA is filed under the name uncultured bacterium. Its description in RNAcentral is "bacterial SSU rRNA". It matches the Rfam family "Bacterial small subunit ribosomal RNA", at positions 355 to 774 of the family's 1533-position model. The record is from RNAcentral.
UGGGGGAUAUUGCACAAUGGGGGAAACCCUGAUGCAGCGACGCCGCGUGAGGGAAGACGGCCUUCGGGUUGUAAACCUCUGUCUUCGGGGACGAAUAAAUGACGGUAUCCGAGGAGGAAGCCACGGCUAACUACGUGCCAGCAGCCGCGGUAAUACGUAGGUGGCAAGCGUUGUCCGGAAUUACUGGGUGUAAAGGGAGCGUAGGCGGGGAGGCAAGUUGAAUGUCUAAACUAUCGGCUCAACUGAUAGUCGCGUUCAAAACUGCCACUCUUGAGUGCAGUAGAGGUAGGCGGAAUUCCUAGUGUAGCGGUGAAAUGCGUAGAUAUUAGGAGGAACACCAGUGGCGAAGGCGGCCUACUGGGCUGUAACUGACGCUGAGGCUCGAAAGCGUGGGUAGCAAACA